GCCACGGUGGUCUAGCGGUUAGAACGGUGGCCUUGUAAUCCUGGGGUCUCGGGUUCGAAUCCCGGCGGUGCCC
Non-coding RNA from Zootermopsis nevadensis, 73 nucleotides. NCBI's taxonomy places the organism in Eukaryota, Metazoa, Arthropoda, Insecta, Blattodea, Termopsidae. The record is from Rfam.